This 294-nucleotide small nucleolar RNA is filed under the name Kryptolebias marmoratus (mangrove rivulus). Lineage: Eukaryota; Metazoa; Chordata; Actinopteri; Cyprinodontiformes; Rivulidae. The record is from RNAcentral.
GCCCAGUGAUGAGACCAAGGCGAAUAUGAGCUCACUGAAUGAGAGCUGGGUUCUUGUUGCUUUGACUGGCAGGUAAUCUUGGCAGUGCAGAGGAGGAUUUCUGCUCUGCUGUAAGGGGCUGCCGACAGUGACUUAGCUCAGCCCAAAUUAUUCCUCUACAGUCAUAGCGGAGUAAUUGCUUGGGCUUAUGCUGACAGUGUUUGUGUGUUGUGUGUGUGCGAAAGGCAAGAAGUUCACCCAGCUCUCGCUUCUGUUCAGUGAACCAUGAGUGUCCUCUUUGGUAAUCUGAGGGCU